UAUUUCUCCGGACGGGGAAAGGUGAGAAGCUUCGACUCAGGUUCAAUUCGGGCGUAGCGAGAAAGCGUUGCCGCAGGCAACGACCCGAAGGGCGAGUCGCCGCGCGACGCGUCAUCCUUCCCCCACAUGCU
RNAcentral lists this small RNA (131 nucleotides) under Salmonella enterica. RNAcentral's name for it is "RtT sRNA". It matches the Rfam family "RtT RNA". From Rfam's summary of the family: This family represents a bacterial cis-regulatory element known as RtT RNA. The record is from RNAcentral. RNAcentral also lists the same sequence under 4 other names. Lineage: Bacteria; Pseudomonadati; Pseudomonadota; Gammaproteobacteria; Enterobacterales; Enterobacteriaceae.